Molecule: non-coding RNA, 97 nt
Organism: Oryza glumipatula
Lineage: Eukaryota; Viridiplantae; Streptophyta; Magnoliopsida; Poales; Poaceae
Source: Rfam
UUGUUGCGAGGAUGAAUUAUGAACAAACUUCGCAUGUCAGACUUCGGAGAUGCUUCAAAGCAUCCAUGAGAAGACAUGUCAUACGACUGAGCAAUGC